GACGAACGCUGGCGGCGUGCCUAAUACAUGCAAGUAGAACGCCGAAGAGAGGAGCUUGCUCUUCUUGGAUGAGUUGCGAACGGGUGAGUAACGCGUAGGUAACCUGCCUUGUAGCGGGGGAUAACUAUUGGAAACGAUAGCUAAUACCGCAUAACAAUGGAUGACACAUGUCAUUUAUUUGAAAGGGGCAAUUGCUCCACUACAAGAUGGACCUGCGUUGUAUUAGCUAGUAGGUGAGGUAAUGGCUCACCUAGGCGACGAUACAUAGCCGACCUGAGAGGGUGAUCGGCCACACUGGGACUGAGACACGGCCCAGACUCCUACGGGAGGCAGCAGUAGGGAAUCUUCGGCAAUGGGGGCAACCCUGACCGAGCAACGCCGCGUGAGUGAAGAAGGUUUUCGGAUCGUAAAGCUCUGUUGUAAGUCAAGAACGGGUGUGAGAGUGGAAAGUUCACACUGUGACGGUAGCUUACCAGAAAGGGACGGCUAACUACGUG
Molecule: ribosomal RNA, 497 nt
Filed under: uncultured bacterium
Lineage: Bacteria
Description: partial 16S ribosomal RNA
Rfam family: Bacterial small subunit ribosomal RNA
Source: RNAcentral